RNAcentral lists this ribosomal RNA (464 nucleotides) under uncultured bacterium. RNAcentral's name for it is "partial 16S ribosomal RNA". It matches the Rfam family "Bacterial small subunit ribosomal RNA", at positions 28 to 507 of the family's 1533-position model. The record is from RNAcentral.
GACGAACGCUGGCGGCGUGCUUAACACAUGCAAGUCGAACGGAAAGGCCCUGCUUGCUUGGUGCUCGAGUGGCGAACGGGUGAGUAACACGUGGGUGAUCUGCCCCUUACUUCUGGAUAAGCUUGGGCAACUGGGUAUAUUACCGGAUAGCACAAUCGUUUAGCGUCGGUUGUGGAAAGUUUUUGCGGUUGGGGAUGAGUCCGGGGCCUAUUAGCUUGUUGGUGGGGUAAUGGCCUACCAAGGCGUCGACGGGUAGCCGGCCUGCGAGGGUGGACGGCCACAUUGGGACUGAGAUACGGCGCAGACGCGUACGGGAGGCAGCAGUGGGGAAUAUUGCACAAUGAGCGCAAGCCUGAUGCAGAGACGCCGCGUGGGGGAUGACGGCCUUCGGGUUGUGAACCGCUUUCGGCAGGGACGAAGCUGUGGUGACGGUACCUGUAUAAGAAGCACCGGCUAACUACGUG